This is a non-coding RNA of Arachis ipaensis, 790 nucleotides long. NCBI's taxonomy places the organism in Eukaryota, Viridiplantae, Streptophyta, Magnoliopsida, Fabales, Fabaceae. The record is from RefSeq and is a predicted model, not a curated record.
CUCACUCUCUCCCCCAAUAACCUCGUUCCAACCCUCUCUAGCAACCCCUCCGUAGGUGCCACCUCUGCCGGUGUUCCCUACGUCGGUGCUCCUUCCGUCUCUCCUGUAAACACCUAUCCCUCCUUCGGCGGUGACUCACUCUGGUAAGGCCUCCCUCGGCGCUCACUCUCUAUCGCAAACUCUCUGUCGACGCUCACUCUCUCUCGCAAACCCUCAAUCGUCACUCCUCCCUCCAUGGUUCAGCACCCGCCGCCGUCUCCAUCUCCCUCACUCGUCGUACCUCCGUCAGCCACGUUCAGCGUUCGCAGCACCGUGGCUAAAAGAUAUCAAUUAUUUCUUCAGGAAUUGAAACAACAAGGGAUACAAGAAGAAAGGCUGCAGCUGCUUGUUAAUGUUACUGGAGCUUUUAGGCCUGGAGUGUUGACAGCAUUGGUUGGAGUAAGCGGGGCUGGAAAACCACGCUAAUGGAUGUCUUGGCUGGAAGAAAAACUGGAGGUGUUGUGAAGCCGCUCUGCUGGCCGUGCCGGGAAACCUGCAGUUAGAUGGACUGAGAUACAAAGCUGGUUUGAGGAUAGGCUCCAAGACUUACCAGAUGACCCUAAUAAUGAAUUGAUGAUUCCCGAAGACCCUGAAUGUAAUAAGGAAGGUGAGCUCUCUUGAAUGCCUAAGGUUCUUAGCGUAGCUUGUGCUUGUGCUUUGCUCGAGCAGUGACUAUCACUGCUGCUUAAGUAUGCUGUAGCCAAUGUAGUUUCUGUUAAGAUAUUUUUUUUUACUAUUUUAUUGCUUUAAA